AUGAUUAAAAUACAUCGUAUGUAUUAAGUUCUCAAAAUUGUUAAAGAAUAAAGUUGUUAAUAAAGUUAACUUUUAUCAGAGUUACAAGGUAUACAGAGAAAGUGCAGACUGGGCAGUGUCCCGACUCUGUAAGCAUGAGGACUUGAGUUUAGAUCCCCAGCACCAGGUGAAAAGCCUGGUAGUGGGAGGGGGAGCAGGGGGAUCCCUGGCACUUGCUGACCAGUUAUUCUGGCUAAAUCAGAAAUCCCUGGUUCAUUCCUCAGGUUCAGGGCGAGAGUGAGGAUAACACUAUUGUUGACCUCCACAGGGAUGCACACCCACAUACAACCACACAUGCACAUACAUACAACAUUAUAGAAAAUCUGACUAGACAGCUUGAUGUAUAUUCACAAUGUGACAUAUUUGUAUUUGUGAAACUCAGAUUUUUUAUAGAACAUUUCGAGUACUUCAGAAGGAGGAACAGGAGCACACACCUAUAAUCUCAGGACUCAGCCUGAGGCCCAAGACCUAACCUGGCCUUUCUCUAAACCCAAGUGGAUCUGGGACACCUGCCUUACAGUUCUGUGGCAUCUGGAGCUUCCUGGGUCAACAACUCCUCAGAAGAGUGCUAACUCCCAUCUGAGAAGGAAGAAGCAAUCUAUUUGGCAUCCAGCACCAGGUUUUUCCAUAUCCAUGAUGAGUUAAUAGUAUCAACUAUGAUUGAAAUACUGUGGGCUGUACACUUAGGAGUAACCAAUCACUUUUUCACUGGAUGUAACACCUACUCCAUGAGAUAGAACCCAUACAUGACAUUACUAAAGUGAUGAAGAAUCUGACUUAUUAUGCCAUGGCCCUGGGGAAAAACCAGAUACUACCACUCUGCCAAACGAAUGUAGCAAUAAGAUGGUUCCUUAUGACAUAUUGCAAUACCCAUGGUCCGGGGCUUUGUUCAGUCCACAUAAGAGAAGCUUUCUCUUACAGUAAAUGGAAACUGACACAGAGUCCCACAACUGGACAAUAUGCAGAGUGAGAUACUUUGGAACACUCAGUACUAAAUGGAUGUCUUCAUCAAACCCAUCCCCUCAGGGUUCAGGGAGCUAUGUGGAAGAAGAAGCGGGAAAAGUGUAAGACCCAGAGAUGAUGGAUGACUCUAAGGACUCAGUAUCCUCCAGACUCAGCAGGAGUGACACACAUAAAAACUCACAGAGACCAUGGCAGCACUAACAAGGCCUGCACAGGUUCAAGCCAGACAGGGUCACAGUACUGAGAGGGGGCAGUGGACACUGGUCCCCACCUCCACCAAGAAGCUAUCUGCAAUUGACACCCACUUGCAAAGGAAAAAUCAGUUUUCUCCAGUGGAUACAAACCACACUUAGGGGUAGGUCCCAUGCUCAGAAGUGGAUGGUCAACACAAACAAACGCAAUGGUGUCUUUGUGCUUUUUGUCUGAUAUUGCUUUGUGUGAGCCUUUUUUAACUGACUGGACUUUUUGUUUAUUAUGGCUUCUGAUUUUGUGUUUUUAUAGAGUGUGUGUGUGUGUGUGUGUGUGUGUGUGUGUGUGUGUGUGUGUGUGUUUAUUAUGGUUUUGUUUGUUUGCUUGCUUUUGUUUGUUUUC
This is a long non-coding RNA of Peromyscus californicus insignis, 1593 nucleotides long. RefSeq lists it as uncharacterized. NCBI's taxonomy places the organism in Eukaryota, Metazoa, Chordata, Mammalia, Rodentia, Cricetidae. The record is from RefSeq and is a predicted model, not a curated record. The transcript has 3 exons.